This 482-nucleotide ribosomal RNA is filed under the name Streptomyces sp. WAC00263. Its description in RNAcentral is "bacterial SSU rRNA". It matches the Rfam family "Bacterial small subunit ribosomal RNA", at positions 1059 to 1533 of the family's 1533-position model. Lineage: Bacteria; Bacillati; Actinomycetota; Actinomycetes; Kitasatosporales; Streptomycetaceae. The record is from RNAcentral.
CUCGUGUCGUGAGAUGUUGGGUUAAGUCCCGCAACGAGCGCAACCCUUAAGCUUAGUUGCCAUCAUUAAGUUGGGCACUCUAAGUUGACUGCCGGUGACAAACCGGAGGAAGGUGGGGAUGACGUCAAAUCAUCAUGCCCCUUAUGAUUUGGGCUACACACGUGCUACAAUGGACAAUACAAAGGGCAGCUAAACCGCGAGGUCAAGCAAAUCCCAUAAAGUUGUUCUCAGUUCGGAUUGUAGUCUGCAACUCGACUACAUGAAGCUGGAAUCGCUAGUAAUCGUAGAUCAGCAUGCUACGGUGAAUACGUUCCCGGGUCUUGUACACACCGCCCGUCACACCACGAGAGUUUGUAACACCCGAAGCCGGUGGAGUAACCAUUUAUGGAGCUAGCCGUCGAAGGUGGGACAAAUGAUUGGGGUGAAGUCGUAACAAGGUAGCCGUAUCGGAAGGUGCGGCUGGAUCACCUCCUUUCUAAGGA